CACCAAUCAAGCCUGGCUUGGUAUUGGGCGACGGGGACCUCACAGCCCCCGCGCCUCAAUGACCCCGGCGGGACGGACCGUAUCUCAGCGUUGUGGUAAAAAGCCGCUGGCGAGACGGGACCGGCCGUGCCGUUAAACAACCCCAUUCUAA
Molecule: unclassified non-coding RNA, 151 nt
Filed under: uncultured Dothideomycetes
Lineage: Eukaryota; Fungi; Ascomycota; Dothideomycetes
Also listed under: 1 other name
Description: sequence contains ITS2
Source: RNAcentral